GCGGGUAUGGCGGAACUGGUAGACGCGCAAGACUUAGGAUCUUGUGUCGAGAGGCGUGCAGAUUCGACUUCUGUUACCCGCACCA
This 85-nucleotide transfer RNA is filed under the name Bacilli bacterium. RNAcentral describes it as "tRNA-Leu". It matches the Rfam family "tRNA". Rfam says of the family: Transfer RNA (tRNA) molecules are approximately 80 nucleotides in length. The record is from RNAcentral. Lineage: Bacteria; Bacillati; Bacillota; Bacilli. RNAcentral also lists the same sequence under 1 other name.